This 238-nucleotide ribosomal RNA is filed under the name uncultured bacterium. Its description in RNAcentral is "partial 16S ribosomal RNA". It matches the Rfam family "Bacterial small subunit ribosomal RNA", at positions 92 to 334 of the family's 1533-position model. The record is from RNAcentral.
CGAGUGGCGGACGGGUGAGUAAUGUCUGGGAAACUGCCCGAUGGAGGGGGAUAACUACUGAAACGGUAGCUAAUACCGCAUAACGUCGCAAGACCAAAGAGGGGGACCUUCGGGCCUCUUGCCAUCGGAUGUGCCCAGAUGGGAUUAGCUAGUAGGUGGGGUAACGGCUCACCUAGGCGACGAUCCCUAGCUGGUCUGAGAGGAUGACCAGCCACACUGGAACUGAGACACGGUCCAG